GUUUCAAUUCCUCAUAGGCAGGCUAUCGGCAAAUUCUCCCGCGCUUCCCUAUAUCGUGCCAGUUUG
RNAcentral lists this small RNA (66 nucleotides) under Acididesulfobacillus acetoxydans. RNAcentral's name for it is "Peptococcaceae bacterium INE non-coding RNA". Lineage: Bacteria; Bacillati; Bacillota; Clostridia; Eubacteriales; Peptococcaceae. The record is from RNAcentral.